GCUGAUGCACUUCGUGAGAGAUUGGAUGCGAACAAAGAACGUGGUUAGUUUCUCUUUCUUUUUGUUAGAUAAACUGAGGCUGGCUGGCUGGGUAACAAGUUAAAACGGCGUCCUUGUUUUAGUUGGGGCUGGCAUGAAACUCUUUUAUUACAAUAAAAGUGUAUUACAGUUAAGCUAGCUUUGAUUUGUGUUCUAUUUUUAUAUUUUAAUCAACUAUAUUGGUUUCUUUUUUCUUUUUUUUUUGUUUGCUUUGAAUACAUAUUAUUGAUGUUUUUCAUUGAUUGUUAUGGACAAUGGGAUUGUUUAUGAAGAUAGGCACCAUCUCAGGAUGCAAUAGAAGGAACACGAACGAGCAUUGAUGCAACAGAAAGGGCGACGUGGGGCGUCGGUUCAGAAUGACAGAGGAUAUUCAAGAAGUGUGUAGCUUCACAUCCAAACACACAAAUGUUGUUCUUUAAUGGUGGGUUGAUGAAGUUAAUUUCAGAUGCAUCAUGGGUACUUACACAAGAAUUUGUGGAUAAACAUGCAAUAGAUUAUGUGGCUCACGAUUCUCUUUCGUAGGCUUCUAAAACUCGGAUUUUAGAGAUGAACAAAAUUUUUGAGUUCGAGUUACCCAACUAAGUUUGGAAACAAAGAUUUUGAGUUUGAGUUACCCAAUGAAGAAGCGGAUGAUGGCAGCGAUGAU
RNAcentral lists this long non-coding RNA (685 nucleotides) under Helianthus annuus (common sunflower). Its description in RNAcentral is "hypothetical non coding rna". The record is from RNAcentral. Lineage: Eukaryota; Viridiplantae; Streptophyta; Magnoliopsida; Asterales; Asteraceae.